GUAUCUUCUCUUCCUGGCAUCGCGUCUACGGGGUUGCCCAUGCCUUUGGUUGCUGCUUCCCUGUCCCUAAGAAGAGGAAGUAACAUGGUUCAGCACGAUGUAAACAAAAAAACCAAAACCAUUAAUCACAAAAAAUUUCGCAUACAACGCAUAACAACUAAUACAUGAUGUCGUCGUACAUGAACCCACAAAAGAGACCACAAAACUCAAAUAAACAACAUCCAUUUAUUCGAAGCACAAAAUAGAACUAACAUAGGGACCAGAAAACUCAAACAAACAACACCUCAACAAAAAUUUUAAAAGGCAGUGAACAUAUGCUUACGAAUCUGAAAGAAAAUCAAAAAAUGAAAAAGUGGAAACACGAAAGCGAUAUUUCAGAAAGCGACAUUUCAGAAAUAAAAUAUAAAUACUAAGAAGCUCUGGUUUAUAUAUAAUAAUUAAUCUAAGAUUCGCACCGCAUAAUCGCUAUACCAUCUUAAAAAACCUAAUCCACAAAAAAAAAAACAAUUCAUGGAAAAACAAAAACAAAAUCGUAAAACAGAAAAGAUCAAAUACUCACCCGACGUGUUACCGUUCGUUCUCGCCAUUAAUUAAACCAAAGAAUUCUUAGUCCACUUAGUUCCUACACUUCAGAAUGGAUUCCACAAC
Molecule: long non-coding RNA, 648 nt
Filed under: Salvia miltiorrhiza (redroot sage)
Lineage: Eukaryota; Viridiplantae; Streptophyta; Magnoliopsida; Lamiales; Lamiaceae
Description: long non-coding RNA (SMIL_LNC013631)
Source: RNAcentral